This 253-nucleotide ribosomal RNA is filed under the name uncultured bacterium. RNAcentral's name for it is "partial 16S ribosomal RNA". It matches the Rfam family "Bacterial small subunit ribosomal RNA", at positions 524 to 776 of the family's 1533-position model. The record is from RNAcentral.
UACAGAGGGUGCAAGCGUUAAUCGGAAUUACUGGGCGUAAAGCGUGCGUAGACGGUUAUGUAAGUUAGGUGUGAAAGCCCCGGGCUUAACCUGGGAAUGGCAUUUGGGACUGCAAGGCUGGAGUGUGGCAGAGGAGACUGGAAUUCCUGGUGUAGCAGUGAAAUGCGUAGAUAUCAGGAGGAAUACCGAUGGCGAAGGCAGGUCUCUGGGCUGACACUGACGCUCAUGCACGAAAGCGUGGGGAGCAAACAGG